CUAGAAGCUUCCACGAUCCUAGAUUGCCCUCCAUUUCCCCAAUUUUGUGUUCUCUUUCCAAAUUAGGGUUUCCCUCUGCCUCGUAUCCCAAGUCCACCAUUUCUUGGGCCUUCUAAAACUUAAACUCCCUCGUCCCUCUCUCUUUAUCUUUUGGUUCCCUUUGAAUUCCCCUCAAAAUCAAAUUGUAGACGAGAAUCCUAAGCGGAGCUAACAUAGCUUCGAAUCCCAUCGACUAUGGCGGAGCACUUGGCUUCAAUUUUCGGCACGGAGAAAGACCGUGUUAACUGCCCAUUCUACUUCAAGAUCGGGGCAUGCCGCCAUGGAGAUCGUUGCUCCCGUCUCCACAAUCGCCCCACAAUAUCCCCAACACUCCUCCUGUCCAACAUGUAUCAGCGCCCCGACAUGAUCACCCCGGGCGUUGACGCCCAGGGUCAGCCCAUCGACCCCCAAAAGAUCCAGGAACACUUUGAGGACUUCUACGAAGACAUCUUCGAAGAACUGGGCAAGUUUGGUGAGAUCGAGAGCCUCAACGUCUGCGAUAACCUCGCUGACCAUAUGAUCGGCAACGUCUAUGUCCAGUUCAGGGAGGAGGAGCAGGCUGCCGCUGCAUUGCAAGCACUACAGGGCCGAUUCUACUCCGGUCGCCCGAUUAUUGCUGAUUUUUCACCUGUCACUGAUUUCCGUGAAGCUACGUGCAGACAGUAUGAGGAAAAUAAUUGCAACCGUGGGGGUUACUGUAAUUUCAUGCACGUGAAGUUGAUUGGUAGAGAUUUGAGGAGGAAACUGUUUGGAAGGUACCGAGGAUACAGAGUUAGUAGGAGCCGAAGCAGAAGCAUGAGUCCAAGGCACAGGAGGGAUAGGGAUAAUGAUAGGCGAGAGAAGGAUUAUCGGGACCGAGACCGUGAUUACCGUGGGAAUGGGCGUAGGAGCGGCGACAGGCAUGACAGGUAUGACAGGGAUGGUGCUAGAAGAAGACACGGUAGUCCCAGGCGGAGCAGGAGCCCAGUCAGGGAAGGGAGUGAAGAACGCAGAGCCAGGAUUGAACAAUGGAACAGAGAGAGGGAGGAGAAGCAGUGAGGGGACCGAGUUGGGUUGUUCCUACUGAGUAGUUCUUUUGUCAAUUUCUCUUAUUGGUAAUGUUUCUAAGCUCAGAUGUUUGGUUUAUGCUCCUUGAAACGCUGGAAAUCUGACACUUGAUGGCUUUCAUUUGAAGGACUGGAACUAUUUUUGUUGCUAGGAUGGUGAUGUUGUUAAUUCUGUCAGUUAGAAGUGGUAGUUUAGCAUAGUAUUUUUUUUCCCCUGCCUUGUUGGGUUCAAGGUGCUUCAAUCUUACUAAAAUUGCUUAUGAUCAUUUUGUUGUGUAUUGUUUUUGUUGUCUUAGUAUCUGGUUGUCUUAUAUAUGUCUCUUUCCAUGAUGCUGCAUUAUGUAUAAGUUCUGCUGGCGAUGCACUUAUAUUUUUUUCCUUUGCAUAAUUGUGUCGAUAGGCUUGCUGAUGAUAGAAUUUAUGUCUAGGGCAGCUAGAGUAAGAUUGGAUGCCCAUAUUUCUUUCCUUUUCAUUUCCUAUAACAUAAUCAAAAGUAAGUCUGGCAUUGAUGUUGUUGUGGCUGUUGAAAAAAAAUAUUAUCUUGAAUAGAUUAAUUUAAGGCAAUUGAAGAUUGUGUUUAAUAUCAAACAGACAUGAGUUAGAUUGAGCCCAAGGCCAAGUGAGCAUUUCUGCUGUAGUACUGUGUAGGUAUUGUAAGUGGGCUUUACGUACAUGUUGGAAUUCUCUACUUAUGUAUUAAAGUCAUUUAUUAAACUUUAUUUGGUCAUCCUGUUGGUUUGAUUUGAUCUAUUAUGAUUUAUGAGGCAUGCUUAUUGCUUAAUGGUUGCUUUUCUUGGGGCUUUUUAAAUUCAAGUUACUUUCUACUUCCAUGUACUAAUUAUCUCUAUGAAAGGGAUACAAGAGGUUGAUUCAUUAGUGAAAAAACAUUUGGUUAGAAUGGCUUCUCUUAUCAUUUUCUUUUAGUGGUAGGUGACCCAAGAGCUGGCUGGGGAACAGAAUUAGAAUCUAAGAAAGAAAGCUUAUGAACUUCAUGCCAUGAAUGUAGAUAAAUUAAAGCUGCCUCAGGUUAGAGUUUCUUUUUGACCCAGUACUUUGAGUUCAAAGCAGUUUUGGAGAUUCUGCUUAUUUUCUAUUGGGAAUUUGUGUUCCAGGAAAAACAAGAAAUUCUCAUUUCAGUCAUUUGGCAGUAGGAAGGUGUUGGUAAAUAAGAUGACUUAUCAUAUGGAUUGUAUAGUAUAGUAGUGGUUGAUUCUGUCUGGAUUUGGUUUUCUAUGGUUGGGAAAAGAUUUCAGUACACUAUAACAGGAAAGCUUCAUUUUUUUUAGUUUGAUCUUGGGAGAGAUUUUUUAAGACUAAUUUUAGGUUAAUACUUUGCUAUGAUAUGGAAAUGAACAAUAUAGCCUGUUCAAGUGGAGAUGCAGCCAAGCUAGGCAACUUGAGGUUUAUGUGACUUGCUACUGCCUAUGAGUCCUCCUCAUCUCUUGAAUAAUAUACUGAUGUGCUUGUGUUGAGUGUUUCUAAAACUUUUUAAAAGAUUAAAUAUACAGGAAUAGUGUUGGGAUUGAAAGAUGAUAUUUGUUGUACAUAGGAACACUACCCAUCUCUAGGUAGUUGUAUGAGGAAAUGAUAAUUUAGCUGCAAAGAUAGAAGCCGGAGAUUGGCCAAAAAAACCUCUUCUCUUUCUCAAGGAGAAAAUAAAGAGAAAGGAAAAAAUAAAGAGAAAGGAAAAAAAGCAGAAGUCACAUCUGCUUCCUAGGGAAAGUAAGUAAGCAAAUUUCUUGGAAAGUUCUUUCGAUAAGGGAGUCGGGAUAGUAGAUAGAGGACCAGGAUAAGCUAGGGCCAGUUCCUGGGUAAAGAAAGGUAACAGCAGGGAAUAUGGAAGAGUUAAGCUUUUGUAAUAAUCAAAAACAAAAAUAGUCUUUUAACUCUGCCCAUCUUUAGGUAGUUUUUUGUGGUUUAAAAAUCUAUUAGAUUAGCUAUGGGAUGUUACGAACUUUUUACUUUGGUUUUCUUAUGCAGUUGAGUCUCCUGUUGUCAAGUGUCAGGGUAUUGCCUUAUUGCUGAUGUGUGAAACAUGCCACAUAAUUUAGCAGAUUUUUUUUUUGAGGUUUUAGGGAGCUUUGUAAUAUCAUGAUUUCCAUCUUUGUUCUUGCUUAUUUUGAAAUUGAGGUUUCAAAGGAAUUCAGGACUCCCCAUUCAUUGAUAACUCUGUGUGCUGUUCACCACUCUCAGUGUUCUGAUUGGACCAGCAACAAGCGCAAGUUCUUUAGCAUUUUUGUUGUUAAAUAGUGAGGGAAUUGCUUCAGCCAUCAAAUAGAAGACUAAAAGUCUUUGUGAUACAACCAAAGUAUGACCUGGGAUCUGAAAGUUCUGUGCUCUACUAACUGUAGGGAGUAUGAUCAUACUUUAUUGCCUUUUUUUUUCCCUUGCGCUAGACAAAGUGAUACUAUUGCUUUCUUUGCUAAUGACUUGUUCGGCUAUGCUUCUAGGAUCAAUUUUUGGAUCUCUGAAUUGGCUAGAUGAACGCAAUGGUUGUCAGAAAAAAGGUCAUAUUGCCCUGUCAGUCUAUUGAAUUUGAAUUUGUAUCAUCACUCUAUUCUCCUCCCGAAAUUAAAUUGUUUAUUGGUAUGGAAUGUGAUGGAAUAGGUUUUUCCUUUUCCUGUGAAAAAGGAUGGUUUUCAGUAUCUUAGUGCAAGUGAUAUUACAAGGGGAAUGUUGGUCGUUGGCCCAAUGUUUCAAAGUUCAGUCUGUUGAGCUGCUCACGUGUCAGUACCUGCUUUUUGUUUCCGUAACCCUGAAUUCAGUUUCAGCUUGCUGGUGAUUUGUUGAGCGUUGUAUGAUUAGAGGACAGCUAUUUGCAAUGGCAUUGGUGGUCAUUAGGCUCAAUGCAAUAUGUGUGUGUG
This 3949-nucleotide unclassified non-coding RNA is filed under the name Hevea brasiliensis (rubber tree). The record is from RNAcentral. Lineage: Eukaryota; Viridiplantae; Streptophyta; Magnoliopsida; Malpighiales; Euphorbiaceae.